RNAcentral lists this ribosomal RNA (466 nucleotides) under uncultured Oscillatoriales cyanobacterium. RNAcentral's name for it is "bacterial SSU rRNA". It matches the Rfam family "Bacterial small subunit ribosomal RNA", at positions 156 to 638 of the family's 1533-position model. The record is from RNAcentral. Lineage: Bacteria; Bacillati; Cyanobacteriota; Cyanophyceae; Oscillatoriales.
AUCGCUGACAAUACCGCAUAGGUUCUCGCGAGAGCGAGAGCAAAGCUCCUUUUCGGAGGGGCGCUGAAAGAUGAACCUGCGGCCGAUUAGCUAGCUGGUGAGGUAACGGCUCACCAGGGCGUCGAUCGGUAGCUGGUCUGAGAGGACAAUCAGCCACACUGGGAUUGAGAACGGCCCAGACUCCUACGGGAGGCAGCAGUGAGGAAUUUUCCGCAAUGGACGCAAGUCUGACGGAGCAACGCCGCGUGCAGGAAGACGGCCUUCGGGUUGUAAACUGCUUUUAUCAGGGAAGAGAACGGACGGUACCUGAUGAAUAAGCCCCGGCUAACUACGUGCCAGCAGCCGCGGUAAUACGUAGGGGGCGAGCGUUGUCCGGAAUUAUUGGGCGUAAAGGGCACGCAGGCGGUUCGCCAAGUUCGAAGUGACAAUCAACGGCUUAACCGGUGAACGACUUCGAAAACUGGUG